Molecule: ribosomal RNA, 249 nt
Filed under: Triticum aestivum (bread wheat)
Lineage: Eukaryota; Viridiplantae; Streptophyta; Magnoliopsida; Poales; Poaceae
Description: partial small subunit ribosomal RNA
Source: RNAcentral
AUGAUUCAAGACUCCAAUUUGAAAGGGGUUAGUGAUCUUUGCAGAAAACUCGUUGAGACAAAGAAGUACAAUACCUUUCCUCUAGUAUUCUUUUUGGUAAAGCUAGCAUUGAUCUUGCCGGUGGUGACGGCAACAGUUGAGAGAGCAUUUUCCGCAAUGAAAUAUAUCAAGUCUGAUUGGCGCAAUAGAAUAGGUGAUGAUUUCUUGUACCAUUGUCUCAUAACUUAUGUUGAAACUGAUGUAUUCUAG